AGCAGCCGCGGUAAUUCCAGCUCCAAUAGCGUAUAUUAAAGUUGUUGCAGUUAAAAAGCUCGUAGUUGAAUUUCGGGGUCAAUACGUCGGUCGUGCCUUCGGUACGUACUGGUGUUAUUGAUCUCUCCCUUCUGACGAAUCAUGAUGUCAUUAAUUUGGUGUCGUGGGGAGUCAGGACUGUUACUUUGAAAAAAUUAGAGUGUUUAAAGCAGGCUCACGCUUGAAUACAUUAGCAUGGAAUAAUGAAAUAGGACGUUCGAUCCUAUUUUGUUGGUUUCUAGGAUCAACGUAAUGAUUAAUAGGGAUAGUUGGGGGCAUUAGUAUUCAAUUGUCAGAGGUGAAAUUCUUGGAUUUAUUGAAGACUAACUACUGCGAAAGCAUUUGCCAAGGAUGUUUUCAUUAAUACAAGAAUGAAAGUUAGGGGAUCGAAGACGAUCAGAUACCGUCGUA
This 450-nucleotide ribosomal RNA is filed under the name uncultured Glomeromycotina. RNAcentral's name for it is "SSU rRNA". It matches the Rfam family "Eukaryotic small subunit ribosomal RNA", at positions 569 to 1022 of the family's 1831-position model. The record is from RNAcentral. Lineage: Eukaryota; Fungi; Glomeromycota.